GAUGAACGCUGGCGGCGUGCUUAACACAUGCAAGUCGAACGGAAAGGCCAGUGCUUGCACUGGUGCUCGAGUGGCGAACGGGUGAGUAACACGUGGGUGAUCUGCCCUGCACUUUGGGAUAAGCCUGGGAAACUGGGUCUAAUACCAGAUAGGACCAUGCUUUGGAUGGUGUGGUGGAAAGUUUUUUCGGUGUGGGAUGAGCUUGCGGCCUAUCAGCUUGUUGGUGGGGUAAUGGCCUACCAAGGCGUCGACGGGUAGCCGGCCUGAGAGGGUGUACGGCCACAGUGGGACUGAGAUACGGCCCAGACUCCUACGGGAGGCAGCAGUGGGGAAUAUUGCACAAUGGGCGCAAGCCUGAUGCAGCGACGCCGCGGGGGGGAUGACGGCCUUCGGGUUGUAAACUCCUUUCGCAACUGACGAAGCUUUUUGUGACGGUAGGUUGAGAAGAAGCACCGGCUAACUACGUG
RNAcentral lists this ribosomal RNA (467 nucleotides) under uncultured bacterium. RNAcentral's name for it is "partial 16S ribosomal RNA". It matches the Rfam family "Bacterial small subunit ribosomal RNA", at positions 28 to 507 of the family's 1533-position model. The record is from RNAcentral.